This 301-nucleotide ribosomal RNA is filed under the name uncultured bacterium. RNAcentral describes it as "partial 16S ribosomal RNA". It matches the Rfam family "Bacterial small subunit ribosomal RNA", at positions 509 to 807 of the family's 1533-position model. The record is from RNAcentral.
CAGCAGCCGCGGGAAUACGGAGGGUGCAAGCGUUAAUCGGAAUUACUGGGCGUAAAGCGCACGCAGGCGGUUUGUUAAGACAGAUGUGAAAUCCCCGGGCUCAACCUGGGAACUGCAUUUGUGACUGGCAGGCUAGAGUAUGGCAGAGGGGGGUGGAAUUCCGCGUGUAGCAGUGAAAUGCGUAGAUAUGCGGAGGAACACCGAUGGCGAAGGCAGCCCCCUGGGCCAAUACUGACGCUCAUGCACGAAAGCGUGGGGAGCAAACAGGAUUAGAUACCCGCGUAGUCCCUGUCUCUUAUAC